UGGGGAAUAUUGGACAAUGGGCGAAAGCCUGAUCCAGCCAUGCCGCGUGAGUGACGAAGGCCUUAGGGUUGUAAAGCUCUUUUGGCGGGGAAGAUAAUGACGGUACCCGCAGAAUAAGCCCCGGCAAACUUCGUGCCAGCAGCCGCGGUAAUACGAAGGGGGCUAGCGUUGUUCGGAAUUACCGGGCGUAAAGCGCACGUAGGCGGAUUGUUAAGUCAGAGGUGAAAUCCCGGAGCUCAACUUCGGAACUGCCUUUGAUACUGGCAAUCUAGAGUCCGGAAGAGGUUAGUGGAAUUCCCAGUGUAGAGGUGAAAUUCGUAGAUAUUGGGAAGAACACCAGUGGCGAAGGCGGCUAACUGGUCCGGUACUGACGCUGAGGUGCGAAAGCGUGGGGAGCAAACAGGAUUAGAUACCCUCGUAGUCCCUGAGCGGGCUGGCAAGGCGCAU
This 447-nucleotide ribosomal RNA is filed under the name uncultured bacterium. Its description in RNAcentral is "bacterial SSU rRNA". It matches the Rfam family "Bacterial small subunit ribosomal RNA", at positions 355 to 825 of the family's 1533-position model. The record is from RNAcentral.